GCCAGGCACGGUGGCGCCUGCCUGUAGUUCCAGCUACUCGGGAGGCUGAGGUGGGAGGAUCACUUGAGCCCAGGAGUUCUGGGCUGUAGUGCGCUAUGCCAAUCAGGUGUCAGCACUAAGUUCGGCAACAAUACGGUGACCUCCCGGGCGCGGGGGACCAUCAGGUUGCCUAAGGACGGGUGAACCCGCCCAGGUCGGAAAUGGAGCAGGUCAAAACUCCGUGCUGAUCAGUAGUGGGAUUGUGCCUAUGAAUAGCCACUGCACUCCAGCCUGGGCAACAUAGCAAGACCCUGUCUCUU
Molecule: unclassified non-coding RNA, 299 nt
Organism: Callithrix jacchus (white-tufted-ear marmoset)
Lineage: Eukaryota; Metazoa; Chordata; Mammalia; Primates; Cebidae
Rfam family: Metazoan signal recognition particle RNA
About the family: The signal recognition particle (SRP) is a universally conserved ribonucleoprotein. It is involved in the co-translational targeting of proteins to membranes.
Source: Ensembl